GCCGGGCAUGGUGGCUCAUGCCUGUAAUCCCAGCAUUUUGGGAGGCCGAGGUAGGUGGAUCACCUGAGGUCAGGAGUUUGAGACCAGCCUGGCCAACAUGGUGAAACCCCAUCUCUA
This 117-nucleotide non-coding RNA is filed under the name Gorilla gorilla gorilla (western lowland gorilla). Lineage: Eukaryota; Metazoa; Chordata; Mammalia; Primates; Hominidae. The record is from Rfam by way of RNAcentral.